This 499-nucleotide ribosomal RNA is filed under the name uncultured bacterium. Its description in RNAcentral is "bacterial SSU rRNA". It matches the Rfam family "Bacterial small subunit ribosomal RNA", at positions 9 to 507 of the family's 1533-position model. The record is from RNAcentral.
CGAGUUUGAUCCUGGCUCAGGAUGAACGCUAGCGGGAGGCCUAACACAUGCAAGCCGAGCGGUAUUGUUUCUUCGGGAAUGAGAGAGCGGCGUACGGGUGCGGAACACGUGUGCAACCUGCCUUUAUCUGGGGGAUAGCCUUUCGAAAGGAAGAUUAAUACUCCAUAACAUAUUGAACGGCAUCGUUUGAUAUUGAAAGCUCCGGCGGAUAGAGAUGGGCACGCGCAAGAUUAGCUAGUUGGUGAGGUAACGGCUCACCAAGGCGAUGAUCUUUAGGGGGCCUGAGAGGGUGAUCCCCCACACUGGUACUGAGACACGGACCAGACUCCUACGGGAGGCAGCAGUGAGGAAUAUUGGUCAAUGGGUGCAAGCCUGAACCAGCCAUCCCGCGUGAAGGACGACUGCCCUAUGGGUUGUAAACUUCUUUUGUAUAGGGAUAAACCUACCCUCGUGAGGGUAGCUGAAGGUACUAUACGAAUAAGCACCGGCUAACUCCGUG